RNAcentral lists this ribosomal RNA (496 nucleotides) under uncultured bacterium. RNAcentral's name for it is "partial 16S ribosomal RNA". It matches the Rfam family "Bacterial small subunit ribosomal RNA", at positions 28 to 507 of the family's 1533-position model. The record is from RNAcentral.
GAUGAACGCUGGCGGCGUGCCUAAUACAUGCAAGUCGAGCGAACGGGCGAGAAGCUUGCUUCUCUGAUGUUAGCGGCGGACGGGUGAGUAACACGUGGAUAACCUACCUAUAAGACUGGGAUAACUUCGGGAAACCGGAGCUAAUCCGGAAGAUUAUUUGAACCGGAUGGGUUAAAAGGUGAAGGAGGGCUUGGCGGUACCUAUUGAUUGAUCCGGGCUGGAUUAGCUAGUUGGUAAGGUAACGGCUUACCAAGGCAACGAUGCAUAGCCGACCUGAGAGGGUGAUCGGCCACACUGGAACUGAGACACGGUCCAGACUCCUACGGGAGGCAGCAGUAGGGAAUCUUCCGCAAUGGGCGAAAGCCUGACGGAGCAACGCCGCGUGAGUGAUGAAGGUCUUCGGAUCGUAAAACUCUGUUAUUAGGGAAGAACAUAUGUGUAAGUAACUGUGCACAUCUUGACGGUACCUAAUCAGAAAGCCACGGCUAACUACGUG